Long non-coding RNA from Coregonus clupeaformis (lake whitefish), 225 nucleotides. RefSeq lists it as uncharacterized. The record is from RefSeq and is a predicted model, not a curated record. Lineage: Eukaryota; Metazoa; Chordata; Actinopteri; Salmoniformes; Salmonidae. The transcript has 3 exons.
CUCACACUCCCAGCUCCUGUCCCUCUAUCCUCUCAGGGACUCUGCUGCGCUAUGAGUGGUGAAUUGACUCUUCUCGGCUUGUGGCCCAUUCUGGACUACUGACUAAAGCGGUCCAGGCUGUUAGAUGAGAAGGUUUACGCUAUCAACGCUAUUUGGCCAUGGGGUCAGUGAAGAGGAAGAGGAUGAGUCUCUCACCCGGAACCUUCUCCCAACCUCUGCCUGAUG